This 98-nucleotide transfer RNA is filed under the name Novosphingobium pokkalii. RNAcentral's name for it is "tRNA-Gly". The record is from RNAcentral. Lineage: Bacteria; Pseudomonadati; Pseudomonadota; Alphaproteobacteria; Sphingomonadales; Sphingomonadaceae.
GCUGGCUGGUGGCACCGGCCACGCGCGAUGCGCUCGCCGCGCGUCUGCACCGUCAAAGCAAGGAUGUGAUGCUGGCGUUCUACACGCAACUGCCGGUG